GGUCGGAGGGACAGUUAUACCCAUAUCCCAUCAGAGUAAAUCUUGAUAGCAGAAAAAACUCUGGAGUCGGUCACGUUCAGUGCAGAUGUAUCCUUACAUCUCACCUGUAUGCCAUAUCAGUAUCUUCACACUCCUUAAUUAAGAGGACAACCAACCCAUAUGGCACACAAUAACCUAUGCUUGAUAAACAUUGUCGUCCUUGGUAACAAUAUAUCAUUUGGUCGCUAACAGGUUUAAGGACUAAACGACAAA
RNAcentral lists this long non-coding RNA (252 nucleotides) under Elaeis guineensis (African oil palm). Its description in RNAcentral is "long non-coding RNA (EGUI_LNC061948)". The record is from RNAcentral. Lineage: Eukaryota; Viridiplantae; Streptophyta; Magnoliopsida; Arecales; Arecaceae.